UUUCCAUAAGCUUCCGCAAACUUUCGAUCCUUCCAUUGUGCUCCCAAAAUUUUCCCAAUAGAAAAUAGAAAGCUUUGAGAAACAGCCCUACCUAGCAGCGCACUCCCACCCCUCAACAUACACCACCUUCCGGCCAUCAAACCCAAGCACUGCCACCGUCAAUCCACCAGCGGCAUCUAGGCAACCCUUCCAGCACCUUUCCAAUCGCCUACAACUUCUCGGAAAAGAAGACCUGACCGGGUUAGAUCUUGACCUGAAUCUAGACUUACAAGUUUUCUAGAUUUCUCUGGCAUCUGACCCUCUCCAGCCCUUCUCCAAUCACAGAUCUGCCCAUCUCUGUUGUCAAAACUGCUAUCUAACUUCCCAGCUGCAAAAAUCCGUGGGUCAGGUCAAGGAAUCUAUUGAAUUUUUUUUUUCAAUGAAAAUGACUCCUAAAUUGCUAAAAUUUCAGUUUUCUUCAAUGAGAUAUGCUUCUUUAAAUUGAAAUCAU
This 490-nucleotide unclassified non-coding RNA is filed under the name Hevea brasiliensis (rubber tree). Lineage: Eukaryota; Viridiplantae; Streptophyta; Magnoliopsida; Malpighiales; Euphorbiaceae. The record is from RNAcentral.